Molecule: ribosomal RNA, 467 nt
Filed under: uncultured Hyphomicrobiaceae bacterium
Lineage: Bacteria; Pseudomonadati; Pseudomonadota; Alphaproteobacteria; Hyphomicrobiales; Hyphomicrobiaceae
Description: bacterial SSU rRNA
Rfam family: Bacterial small subunit ribosomal RNA
Source: RNAcentral
AGAGUUUGAUCAUGGCUCAGAACGAACGCUGGCGGCAGGCUUAACACAUGCAAGUCGAACGCCCCGCAAGGGGAGUGGCAGACGGGUGAGUAACGCGUGGGAAUCUACCCAGAACUUCGGAACAACUGAGGGAAACUUCAGCUAAUACCGGAUACGCCCUACGGGGGAAAGAUUUAUCGGUUCUGGAUGAGCCCGCGUUGGAUUAGCUAGUUGGUGAGGUAAAGGCUCACCAAGGCGACGAUCCAUAGCUGGUCUGAGAGGAUGAUCAGCCACACUGGGACUGAGACACGGCCCAGACUCCUACGGGAGGCAGCAGUGGGGAAUAUUGGACAAUGGGCGAAAGCCUGAUCCAGCCAUGCCGCGUGAGUGAUGAAGGCCUUAGGGUUGUAAAGCUCUUUCAGUAGGGAAGAUAAUGACGGUACCUACAGAAGAAGCCCCGGCUAACUUCGUGCCAGCCGCCGCGGUAA